CCGUAAGGGGUACCUGCGGAGGGAUCAUUACCGAGUUAUACAACUCAUCAACCCUGUGAACAUACCUAUAACGUUGCCUCGGCGGGAACAGACGGCCCCGUAACACGGGCCGCCCCCGCCAGAGGACCCCCUAACUCUGUUUCUAUAAUGUUUCUUCUGAGUAAACAAGCAAAUAAAUUAAAACUUUCAACAACGGAUCUCUUGGCUCUGGCAUCGAUGAAGAACGCAGCGAAAUGCGAUAAGUAAUGUGAAUUGCAGAAUUCAGUGAAUCAUCGAAUCUUUGAACGCACAUUGCGCCCGCCAGUAUUCUGGCGGGCAUGCCUGUUCGAGCGUCAUUACAACCCUCAGGCCCCCGGGCCUGGCGUUGGGGAUCGGCGGAAGCCCCCUGCGGGCACAACGCCGUCCCCCAAAUACAGUGGCGGUCCCGCCGCAGCUUCCAUUGCGUAGUAGCUAACACCUCGCAACUGGAGAGCGGCGCGGCCACGCCGUAAAACACCCAACUUCUGAAUGUUGACCUCGAAUCAGGUAGGAAUACCCGCUGAACUUAAGCAUAUCAUAACCGGGAAGGAA
RNAcentral lists this ribosomal RNA (570 nucleotides) under Fusarium solani. RNAcentral's name for it is "partial 18S ribosomal RNA". The stretch from base 182 to 335 matches the Rfam family "5.8S ribosomal RNA". The record is from RNAcentral. Lineage: Eukaryota; Fungi; Ascomycota; Sordariomycetes; Hypocreales; Nectriaceae.